CCUAAGACCAACCUUUGGAUAUUUGACUUGGUAACAAAAUGCUAUCUGCAAACGUAACGUCAGACAUAACUUUAGUUUACAGCAUAGCAGC
This is a long non-coding RNA of Etheostoma spectabile (orangethroat darter), 91 nucleotides long. RefSeq lists it as uncharacterized. Lineage: Eukaryota; Metazoa; Chordata; Actinopteri; Perciformes; Percidae. The record is from RefSeq and is a predicted model, not a curated record. The transcript has 3 exons.